Molecule: ribosomal RNA, 194 nt
Filed under: uncultured bacterium
Lineage: Bacteria
Description: partial 16S ribosomal RNA
Rfam family: Bacterial small subunit ribosomal RNA
Source: RNAcentral
CCUACGGGAGGCAGCAGUGGGGAAUAUUGGACAAUGGGGGCAACCCUGAUCCAGCCAUGCCGCGUGUGUGAAGAAGGCUUUCGGGUUGUAAAGCACUUUCAGUGAGGAGGAAGGCCUUAAGGUUAAUACCCUUGAGGAUUGACGUUACCCACAGAAGAAGCACCGGCUAACUCCGUGCCAGCAGCCGCGGUAAU